AUUGAACGCUGGCGGCAGGCCUAACACAUGCAAGUCGAGCGGAUGAAGGGAGCUUGCUCCUGGAUUCAGCGGCGGACGGGUGAGUAAUGCCUAGGAAUCUGCCUGGUAGUGGGGGAUAACGUCCGGAAACGGGCGCUAAUACCGCAUACGUCCUGAGGUAGAAAGUGGGGGAUCUUCGGACCUCACGCUAUCAGAUGAGCCUAGGUCGGAUUAGCUAGUUGGUGGGGUAAAUGCCUACCAAGGCGACGAUCCGUAACUGGUCUGAGAGGAUGAUCAGUCACACUGGAACUGAGACACGGUCCAGACUCCUACGGGAGGCAGCAGUGGGGAAUAUUGGACAAUGGGCGAAAGCCUGAUCCAGCCAUGCCGCGUGUGUGAAGAAGGUCUUCGGAUUGUAAAGCACUGUAAGUUGGGAGGAAGGGCAGUAAGUUAAUACCUUGCUGUUUUGACGUUACCAACAGAAUAAGCACCGGCUAACUUCGUG
Molecule: ribosomal RNA, 484 nt
Filed under: uncultured bacterium
Lineage: Bacteria
Description: partial 16S ribosomal RNA
Rfam family: Bacterial small subunit ribosomal RNA
Source: RNAcentral